RNAcentral lists this ribosomal RNA (254 nucleotides) under uncultured bacterium. RNAcentral describes it as "partial 16S ribosomal RNA". It matches the Rfam family "Bacterial small subunit ribosomal RNA", at positions 524 to 776 of the family's 1533-position model. The record is from RNAcentral.
UACGAAGGGGGCUAGCGCUGCUCGGAAUCACUGGGCGUAAAGCGCACGUAGGCGGACUCUUAAGUCGGUGGUGAAAUCCUGGAGCUCAACUCCAGAACUGCCUUCGAUACUGAGAGUCUCAGAGUCCGGGAGAGGUGAGUGGAACUCCGAGUGUAGAGGUGAAAUUCGUAGAUAUUCGGAAGAACACCAGUGGCGAAGGCGGCUCACUGGCCCGGUACUGACGCUGAGGUGCGAAAGCGUGGGGAGCAAACAGG